GGGUUGCAGGUGUUAGCGGCAACAUUUCUCCCUUUUAAGGAGCAAGUUCAGCGUUCAAGUCGCUGGCGACCCACCA
RNAcentral lists this transfer RNA (76 nucleotides) under uncultured archaeon. RNAcentral's name for it is "tRNA-Lys(ttt)". The record is from RNAcentral.